UGGGGAAUAUUGGACAAUGGGCGCAAGCCUGAUCCAGCCAUGCCGCGUGGGUGAUGAAGGCCCUAGGGUUGUAAAGCCCUUUCGGCGGGGAAGAUAAUGACGGUACCCGCAGAAGAAGCCCCGGCUAACUUCGUGCCAGCAGCCGCGGUAAUACGAAGGGGGCUAGCGUUGCUCGGAAUCACUGGGCGUAAAGCGCACGUAGGCGGCUUGUUAAGUCAGGGGUGAAAUCCUGGAGCUCAACUCCAGAACUGCCUUUGAUACUGGCGAGCUUGAGUUCGGGAGAGGUGAGUGGAACUGCGAGUGUAGAGGUGAAAUUCGUAGAUAUUCGCAAGAACACCAGUGGCGAAGGCGGCUCACUGGCCCGAUACUGACGCUGAGGUGCGAAAGCGUGGGGAGCAAACAGGAUUAGAUACCCCCGUAGUCC
This 424-nucleotide ribosomal RNA is filed under the name uncultured bacterium. Its description in RNAcentral is "bacterial SSU rRNA". It matches the Rfam family "Bacterial small subunit ribosomal RNA", at positions 355 to 796 of the family's 1533-position model. The record is from RNAcentral.